UCGGGAUACUCCGGGAAACCGGGGCUAAUACCGGAUAUGAGCCGUCCUCGCAUGGGGGUGGUUGGAAAGUUUUUCGGUCAGGGAUGGGCUCGCGGCCUAUCAGCUUGUUGGUGGGGUGAUGGCCUACCAAGGCGACGACGGGUAGCCGGCCUGAGAGGGCGACCGGCCACACUGGGACUGAGACACGGCCCANACUCCUACGGGAGGCAGCAGUGGGGAAUAUUGCACAAUGGGCGAAAGCCUGAUGCAGCGACGCCGCGUGAGGGAUGAAGGCCUUCGGGUUGUAAACCUCUUUCAGCAGGGAAGAAGCGCAAGUGACGGUACCUGCAGAAGAAGCGCCGGCUAACUACGUGCCAGCAGCCGCGGUAAUACGUAGGGCGCAAGCGUUGUCCGGAAUUAUUGGGCGUAAAGAGCUCGUAGGCGGUUUGUCGCGUCUGGUGUGAAAACUCGAGGCUCAACCUCGAGCUUGCAUCGGGUACGGGCAGACUAGAGUGCGGUAGGGGAGACUGGAAUUCCUGGUGUAGCGGUGGAAUGCGCAGAUAUCAGGAGGAACACCGAUGGCGAAGGCAGGUCUCUGGGCCGCAACUGACGCUGAGGAGCGAAAGCAUGGGGAGCGAACAGGAUUAGAUACCCUGGUAGUCCAUGCCGUAAACGUUGGGCACUAGGUGUGGGGCUCAUUCCACGAGUUCCGUGCCGCAGCAAACGCAUUAAGUGCCCCGCCUGGGGAGUACGGCCGCAAGGCUAAAACUCAAAGGAAUUGACGGGGGCCCGCACAAGCGGCGGAGCAUGCGGAUUAAUUCGAUGCAACGCGAAGAACCUUACCAAGGCUUGACAUGCACGAGAAGCCACCAGAGAUGGUGGUCUCUUUGGACACUCGUGCACAGGUGGUGCAUGGUUGUCGUCAGCUCGUGUCGUGAGAUGUUGGGUUAAGUCCCGCAACGAGCGCAACCCUCGUCCCAUGUUGCCAGCGGGUAAUGCCGGGGACUCAUGGGAGACUGCCGGGGUCAACUCGGAGGAAGGUGGGGAUGACGUCAAAUCAUCAUGCCCCUUAUGUCUUGGGCUUCACGCAUGCUACAAUGGCCGGUACAAAGGGCUGCGAUACCGUAAGGUGGAGCGAAUCCCAAAAAGCCGGUCUCAGUUCGGAUUGGGGUCUGCAACUCGACCCCAUGAAGUCGGAGUCGCUAGUAAUCGCAGAUCAGCAACGCUGCG
Molecule: ribosomal RNA, 1209 nt
Filed under: Cellulosimicrobium cellulans
Lineage: Bacteria; Bacillati; Actinomycetota; Actinomycetes; Micrococcales; Promicromonosporaceae
Description: bacterial SSU rRNA
Rfam family: Bacterial small subunit ribosomal RNA
Source: RNAcentral